AUCCGGCUGACGAAUCCCAAAUAGGACGAAACGCGCUCCCUGGAU
This is a non-coding RNA of Schistosoma rodhaini, 45 nucleotides long. Lineage: Eukaryota; Metazoa; Platyhelminthes; Trematoda; Strigeidida; Schistosomatidae. The record is from Rfam.